GAUGAACGCUAGCGACAGGCUUAACACAUGCAAGUCGAGGGGUAACAGGGGGGCUUGCUCCCGCUGACGACCGGCGCACGGGUGAGUAACGCGUAUGCAACCUUCCCGCAGGAUCGGGAUAGCCCCCCGAAAGGGGGAUUAACACCGGAUGUGGUGGUUCGGGGGCAUCCCCGAGUCACUAAAUGCGAAGCUUGCGGAUGGGCAUGCGUCCCAUUAGGAAGCCGGCGGGGUAACGGCCCACCGGUCCUACGAUGGGUAGGGGUUCUGAGAGGAAGGUCCCCCACACUGGUACUGAGACACGGACCAG
This 307-nucleotide ribosomal RNA is filed under the name uncultured bacterium. Its description in RNAcentral is "partial 16S ribosomal RNA". It matches the Rfam family "Bacterial small subunit ribosomal RNA", at positions 28 to 334 of the family's 1533-position model. The record is from RNAcentral.